ACGCUGGCGGCGUGCCUAACACAUGCAAGUCGAACGAAGCAAUUGAAAUGAAGUUUUCGGAUGGAUUUUUAAUUGACUGAGUGGCGGACGGGUGAGUAACGCGUGGAUAACCUGCCUCACACUGGGGGAUAACAGUUAGAAAUGACUGCUAAUACCGCAUAAGCGCACAGUGCCGCAUGGUACGGUGUGAAAAACUCCGGUGGUGUGAGAUGGAUCCGCGUCUGAUUAGCCAGUUGGCGGGGUAACGGCCCACCAAAGCGACGAUCAGUAGCCGACCUGAGAGGGUGACCGGCCACAUUGGGACUGAGACACGGCCCAAACUCCUACGGGAGGCAGCAGUGGGGAAUAUUGCACAAUGGGCGAAAGCCUGAUGCAAGCGACGCCGCGUGAGUGAAGAAGUAUUUCGGUAUGUAAAGCUCUAUCAGCAGGGAAGAAAAUGACGGUACCUGACUAAGAAGCCCCGGCUAACUACGUGCCAGCAGCUGC
This 486-nucleotide ribosomal RNA is filed under the name uncultured bacterium. RNAcentral describes it as "bacterial SSU rRNA". It matches the Rfam family "Bacterial small subunit ribosomal RNA", at positions 33 to 518 of the family's 1533-position model. The record is from RNAcentral.